Paramuricea clavata is the source of this 288-nucleotide non-coding RNA. Lineage: Eukaryota; Metazoa; Cnidaria; Anthozoa; Malacalcyonacea; Plexauridae. The record is from the annotation of a GenBank genome assembly.
GUUAGGGAAUGCUUGGAAUUUAUUUCCAGAAGAAAUAUACGGAAGUAAUAUUUGAGCGGAAUACAUGCGACAUACGGACGUCAUGGUCUAAGACAGCUUGCACAUAACUGCGUUCUGUCAUGGUAUAUUACCAAAAGCUGUUUCGGCGUUGUUUUCAACUGGGGAGGAGGGAGCGGGAGACAAAGUUUGUUUUGUCAAUGUGCAAUUCCAGCUUUUAGUUUAUGCGUGCAGGGGAUGAUGGGAAGUAAGGUAUCAUAUUGCUGAUUAUGCUAAAAAAAUAAAAAUGGU